GGCGAACGCUGGCGGCGUGCUUAACACAUGCAAGUCGAACGGUGAAGCGCCUUCCUCUUUGGCUGGUGGGGAUGAGUGGCGAACGGGGGAGUAACACGUGAGUAACCUGCUCUCUUCUGCUGGAUAACCGCAUGAAAGUGUGGCUAAUACGGGAUAUUCUGGGUCGGUCGCAUGAUGGGUCUGGGAAAGAUAUUGUUUCGGUGGGGGAUGGGCUCGCGGCGUAUCAGCUUGUUGGUGGGGAGAUGGCCUACCAAGGCGGUGACGGGGAGCCGGCUGGAGGGGGUGGCAGCUACACUGGGGAUUGGACCCCGGCCAGGCCUCUUCGGGGAGCCAGAAGUGGGGAUUAUUGACCAAUGGGGGAAAGCCUAAUGCGGCGACGCGGCGUGAGGGAUGGGGGCCUUGGGGUUGUAAGCCCCUUUGGCGAGUGAAGAAGGCAUGACUCGUUUGUGCGUGUGUUGACGGUAGCUGGAUAAGAAACGCCGGCUAAAUCCGCG
Molecule: ribosomal RNA, 494 nt
Filed under: uncultured bacterium
Lineage: Bacteria
Description: partial 16S ribosomal RNA
Rfam family: Bacterial small subunit ribosomal RNA
Source: RNAcentral